RNAcentral lists this non-coding RNA (111 nucleotides) under bacterium CG10_37_50. RNAcentral's name for it is "Bacterium CG10 SAM-I sequence". It matches the Rfam family "SAM riboswitch aptamer (S box leader)". From Rfam's summary of the family: The SAM riboswitch is found upstream of a number of genes which code for proteins involved in methionine or cysteine biosynthesis in Gram-positive bacteria. The SAM riboswitch acts at the level of transcription termination control. The record is from RNAcentral.
AGUUUAUCCAGAGUGAUAGCGAGGGCACUGGCCCCAUGACCUAUCCAGCAACCCUUGGAGCUGACAGCUUCAAGAAGGUGCUAAAUCCAGCCCGAAAGGGAGAGAUAAGGA